Molecule: long non-coding RNA, 4015 nt
Organism: Apis florea (little honeybee)
Lineage: Eukaryota; Metazoa; Arthropoda; Insecta; Hymenoptera; Apidae
Source: RefSeq, a predicted model, not a curated record
AUCUUUGUUUUAUUAAUUUUGUAGAAAACGUCGGUAUCUAUAUUAUCGAUGAUCAUAUAUAAUGAGUAUAUACAAUAAAGUUAGUUUCACGAUUUUAUGUUAGAUGGUAGUCCGAAUGAAAUCCAUGUUGUGUUUAAUUUAUUUAAGAAUGCUUAAUGAGUUGAUAUUAAAGAGAGAUCGAGAAUAUGCUGAAAUAUUUAUUAAUAAUUAAAUGAAUAAUAAAGGUUUUUCAAUUUCAGGUAACAUUAUCAUAUCUAUAUUACCGGAAACAAAGUGGCGAUGUUAUGGUCCAAGAUAGACGACUUCUCUGUAACAAUUGAGUUCUGAAAGAACUCUGACAUCUUGUCUCACUUCUUACAGCAAACUUGACGGAAAAUUUAUCCAAUUGGUCGAAUGCUCGAUGUUUUGUUACUUAUGGCAGAUUGCCAAAAUUAUUCGUGGAACUUGUUGAGGUUAAGCAAAAUAUUAUCUAAAAAUGCUCGUCUGCACACCUUCAAAACAAUUGUGAGAAACUUUUUUCUUCUUUUUUCUACUUUUUUUUUCUACCGAAUUAUUGAUUUCCAAUAUUCGAAACGUUAGUCAAUAUGUGAAACAUUUUAAUUUAUUAUUUAGAACUUUUCUUACGACUCGAAUCGAUAUCCAAGAGAAAUAAUCACAUGACAAUCACUGCACCUAAGAAUAAUUUAUUCCGUGACUAUCUUUUCAAUAUUGCCAAACGUUUCUCUCAGGAAUUAGCAUUCUGUACGUAAUACAUAUAAUUACGUAUGCUUGCUGCAGUCUUGAUAGAAGACAUCACAGAAACAUCAUCCAUGCAAUAAAUAGUUGUAGGUUAAUGAUAAACGUUGAAAUCUUUAUUGCAUUAUAAUUUUUCUUUUCAAACCGAAUUAAUCUCAAGGAUGAACUUCCGUUUGAUUUAGAAUAUCUGUUUAAGCGAUAAGGUAAAAUUUAAUUAAAUCACGCGUGCUAGAUCUCUAAAAGAUAUGUUUAAUGUUUAAGGAUAAUUAACAUUUCCGGAUAAUCACGAUUAAUCGUAUGAACAAGAUAAGAAAGAUUGGAGCAACCUUGAUUCCUCGUGUAUUCAGUAUGUAAUUAAUUUUUAUAUCAUACUUUAAUUUUGUUUUCAUUUAUGCUAUUUAUCAAACGAAAAGGAAUUUAAGAUAUAGAGCUUGUUUAAGAAUACAAAUAAUCGAGAAAGAGAAAAAUAAAUUAGAGGUAAAUGUACCAAGGCCAAGAUAACAUAAUCCUCAUGAUAAUGUAAUCCUCAAUACUAAAUCUCGAUUAUCACAAGGAUAAAGAUUUUUAUGUAAAAUUUGAGAAAGUGCCAUUUAUCGCGUUAGAAAGUUCAAGAAAUGAGCUUAUCAGUUCGUUAUAGAAUAAGAUUUUAGUAUGAAAUUAGUACAAACAUUUUCCUUAUAUAACAAUUUUAUUAUUAUUAUAUACGCUAUAUUGAAAUUGAAUUUAUAUUAUUCAAAUUUAUCUAUUUUAUCUACAUAUAAUCAAGUAUAAUAAUCAUGCACGAAUCACAAAAGAAAAAUUAUUACACUUUCUCCAAUAGAAUUUAUUCUACCAUUGACGUAAAUCAAUAAAGAUAAACCAGAGAAGAUUAAAAUAUAAUAAAUAAAUAAAUUUUUCUAGAAAAUUUGUAAUCAUGCUCAAUAUAUGAACACAUAAAAUGCCAAUCAAAUGUCUUUAAUUGGAUAUAAUAUAAAUGAUAAUACGAUUCUGUGCAUUACAUAUCAUGUUUACAAAAACAGAGGUACACAUCUGCAAGUGAAAUUUGGUUUGCAUAAAGAUGCAUAAAAUUGAUGGAUGCACGCAUCUGGCGUAGAAGCUUGUUUUCCGUACGUAUCAAUGUGCACAUACUAACCAGUGGGUCAAGCGUUUUGCACGUUUUGCAUGACACAUAGUGUAUUUCUCGCGCAAGUUGCGUCUAGAUGACGAUAUAGAUAGUUGUGCAUACAUGCUCGGUCCACGUGCCAGUCACGUGCUCGAUGCGAGAGAGGUAUGUCACGUGAAUGGUCUACACCCGCAAACAAAGGCAAUAAAAUUGCGUUAGUAUCAUGCAAACUAAACAUCGAGUGAAAAGCCAAUGCAACUAACUCGAACUUUCAUCAGAUCUAUUUUUGAAAAGACGAAACUAUAAUACUUUAAAAAUUUGAAAUUUUCGUAAUUCAAUUUUUUGACGUUACAAUAAGUUUUUCUCUUCAUAUCAAAAAUUGUUGAUUCUAACUUCAAUUGUUUUUCGCUUUGCUUCAUUUUUUUCUUUCUUUUUAUUAAAAAUAGUUUAAGACGCAUAACAGCCAAUUAUAAAUAUACUUUUAACAUUAAGUCUUUAAAAGUGUGCAGGUCAAGGUCGGGACAAUGGCAAUAUCGACGUAAUGCGCAUGAACGAUUCGAUUCGAUUGACUUACCUUACAUUCGAGAAUCGAGAAAUGGCGCGGGAAAUUCUAUCGUUUCAUCUUUAUUUAUUUCAUGAGUCGAGAUUCGAGAAGGAUUUAAAGAUACGUUUUUCUUGGUGAUCAUCUGAUUUACGUAACAUUGCCACCAACGUCGCGUUAUAAUUCUUUAAAUACAUUUCAAACAUAUUUUUCUGUUCAGAUGCACAAUAAUGUAUUUAAGCGAUUACGUAAUGCAGCUCUCAAUACUAGUUGACUUUAUCGAUCAAUAUUUCUACAAUAUAAUGGACAGGUAACAAAUGCAAUAAUUUAUUUUUCAUUUUUGCAGAAAAUGAUCGGUAUAUCGAUAUUAUGGAGUAUUAAAAAGUAAAACGUUUUCAACUGAAUUAAAAAAAAAAAAAUUAUUUAAAUGCUAUAAUUAAGAAACAUUAUCGAUUACCUUGAAAUUAUUUUAUUUUUUAGACUUAUUAACCAAUGUACAAUGUAAUUUUACAAAAUUAUAAAAUGUAGCAACAUCUAACUGACAAAUGAUCAUUCUGUGGAAAACAAGGGUCUGUCAUCUGUCGUGCCGAAAAUAACAAGUGUUAACUUUAUUUUUAAACUGAUACUGAUAAAUAGAUAGAAAAGUAGAUCGUUGUACGUAUAUAGUUAUAUUCGUUUUAAUGCAUUUGUUGGAAAAUACAUAUAAAGAGUAAAUAUAAUUAUAACUAUCAGAAGAGCUGCAAAAAAUCUUUAUCGGAAUUAUAAAAAUUUAUUUUGCAACGAUUAUCAUUAUUAUAAUAAUAGUAAUAUUAAAAAUUGAUUAUAUUAUUAACACAGUAAUCAAACUUUUAAAUAUUUUUUAUCGUAUUUUUGCUCUAAAAAAUUUAUAUCGUAAUUAGGUCAUUUUAUAUCAUAAAUAUCUUUAAUUCCCAAGGAUAAAUUCCAGUACAAAAUAAAAAUUAAUAUUAAAAUUUAUCAAAGUUAAAUAUACUCCGCAAUCUAGAUUGGAAAAUCUAACAAUAAGUGUUUAAUUGUAUCGCUUUGUAAUACAGUUUACUUCACGCAAAUAAAUUUUUACACAACAUGAAAAGAAGAAGGAUAUUUGUACCACUAUAUUAUUCAUAAAGAAUGUAAAACAGAAUUCUCACACAUCAUGUGACAUUUUAAUCUACACUCGUGACGCAUGCAUUUCUGUAUGGAAACAGCUCGUAUGACAAUAGCUUUCCACAUGAUUCAUUACCUCCUGUUCAUUGGAAAAGUUCUCAAGACCGAUCGCCAUUAUGAAUGCUAUUAAAACUAGCAUUGGAAAUAUUCUUUGAUAUGUUUAACGAAUAAAGAAUAUCAGAUUUGGAUAGAUUUGCAUAGAGAGUUAAUGAAAUAAAAAAGAAGAAACACGAUCGAUAACAUUGCUUAAUUUAUGGCACUAAGCAUAUUUGCUCAGAAUAGAUGAAACAAAUCGGCUUAAACAAUUUCAAAACAAUGAAUUAUCGAUAUCGAUAAUAUUCGAUCGAAAGAUUGGCAAAUAUUGCCCAUUCAAGGAUUAACAGGUGAUAAAUCGAACAUACUCUUUAUCUUAUUAUGUUAAUGAAACAACAUGAUAAUUAUAUGUUUCAUCGAGUAGCAUACAUUAUAUUAAU